GGGCUGGCUUAAACAAAAAUUCAGCUCUUUGGAAUAACUCCAGACUUAAUGGGUGUGCUAGCUAGGGCUGGGGACUUGAUCUGUGUAAACUGUUGCCUUGAUUUGGUUUUGAAAGCACUGCAGACUUCUCUGCUGUACCUCACUAAGACGAGCUAGUGCUUUUAACUCUAAACCCAGAUGAGCAUUUCUGAUGGCCUGAUCUACUGUAGCCAUAGCACAAAGAACAGGAAUCACGUGAUUAUGAAGUCACUGGAAAGGCUAGAGGAAACAGAAGUCAGGGACUCCAUUGAUUGGUGUGAAAGACAGACCCAGCAACCAUGGACUGUGGAGGUUGCGUGGGCUGAGUAGCUAUAGGCAUUGGACACUCACAUCUUGACAACUUUGUUUGUUAGGAGAAACAGCAACACAAUGUCUUCAGCCUCCUUCCAUCUUCUGUGUGUCAUAAAGAAGCCUGUAAUUGGUGGAACCUAACUGUCCAAUGAGACCCUAAAAGCAAAGGCAUCUGGGAAAUGUAGUUCUUAGUGUUACUUAUUUGGCAGUGUGGGAAGUUACCUCACACAUGGGUUGGAAGGAGCCAACCCAUGGGCCACUCUUACUACACAUAGUUUAUUUACUAUAUAAUAAUUAUACAGCGAGGAUAUAUGAUUAAUAUAAUGAUAUCAGCAAUGGCAGGCAUUACAUUCCCCACACUAUGCAAGCCAUUUACACUACAUCAUAUCCUCACAACAAUUUUGUAAUUGUUCUUGAUUUACAAAUGAGAAAAACUGGGGUUGAGAGAAGACUUACACGAGCCUGGGAGGCUUUAAAUCUUGCAAUUCUCAUAACUUUUUUUUUGCAUAUUUUUUUGGCACAGAGUAAUCACUUAUCUUAAAAAAUUAAAAAGAAUUUAUAGUUUUAGAUUUUUCAAAUCUUACUUUUAAUACGGGUUCUUAAAUGCUUUAACCUUCCUUCUAUCCCACCACCCACCAGAGGUAGGAGAAAAGAAGAGUUGUUAGGAUAUGGGGGCAGUGGACCUGUUUAGAAACUGUUCUUUGGAGCAAAUCCAAUUUGUGUUAUCAGGAGAUCAGCAGUUCAUUUACAGGAAUCAUCAGUUGCAGCUUGAUCCAUUUGCAAACACUUCACGAACUAUCAAUCGGUAGUGUUAAGAUAGCAAACAUGAAUCAGCAGUGGAAUGACCUAGCAGAGACAUCCAGGUCUUAGAUGAAUCAGCAUGAAUCAGCAGGAGGAACCAGGACUACCAGGGACAUCAGCAGAAGUUCUUUGCCUUGCCUCUCUCAAAGAAACAAUGAUCAUUGAAGACUGGCGACCAAGAAGCCUUCUUUGCAGAGCUAGCUAUGCAAGCAAGCGCCCCUCACAGUCUGUUGAGUCCUAUUUAUACUCCCUCCAAACAUCACGUGUCCUCCAUGGGUCUUACCUCACCACGUGUCUUGCCUCAGCACGUGCGUCUGUAUCAACUGCCAUCAUUCUGCCAAUUGGCUCGAGUCUGCAGAAGUGGCAAAAAGCAUCAGGCACACCACCUUUGAUGUGUCUAUCUCUAUGGAGUCCCUACAAACAAUGACCAAUAAACAAUGGUAAGGCGUACCAAUACCAACCAGCA
RNAcentral lists this long non-coding RNA (1597 nucleotides) under Mus musculus (house mouse). RNAcentral's name for it is "long non-coding RNA chr1:85213798-85215395". Lineage: Eukaryota; Metazoa; Chordata; Mammalia; Rodentia; Muridae. The record is from RNAcentral.